Molecule: ribosomal RNA, 440 nt
Filed under: uncultured bacterium
Lineage: Bacteria
Description: partial 16S ribosomal RNA
Rfam family: Bacterial small subunit ribosomal RNA
Source: RNAcentral
CCUACGGGAGGCAGCAGUGGGGAAUAUUGCACAAUGGGGGAAACCCUGAUGCAGCGACGCCGCGUGAGCGAAGAAGUAUUUGGGUAUGUAAAGCUCUAUCAGCAGGGAAGAAAAUGACGGUACCUGACUAAGAAGCUCCGGCUAAAUACGUGCCAGCAGCCGCGGUAAUACGUAUGGAGCAAGCGUUAUCCGGAUUUACUGGGUGGAAAGGGAGCGUAGGCGGUAAGGCAAGUCUGAUGUGAAAGGCAAGGGCUCAACCCUGGGACUGCAUUUGAAACUGUUUAACUGGAGUGUCGGAGAGGCAAGUGGAAUUCCUUGUGUAGCGGUGAACUGCGUAGAUAUUAGGCGGCACACCAGUGGCGAAGGCGGCUUGCUGGACGAUGACUGACGCUGAGGCUCGAAAGCGUGGGGAGCAAACAGGAUUAGAUACCCCGGUAGUC